GUGUAUGGUCCUUUCCUUCUCUGAAGAACAAGUACUGCAUAGGCAGCAGAACUGCAAGCUUCUCCACAAAGCCCUGCCAAUGUGCCUCAAGCUGCAUAGGGAACAACUUUUAGGGAUCUAAAGAUCCCUGCAGAGAUUUCACCUCC
Molecule: small RNA, 146 nt
Filed under: Crocodylus porosus (Australian saltwater crocodile)
Lineage: Eukaryota; Metazoa; Chordata; Crocodylia; Crocodylidae
Description: TUC338 (ENSCPRG00005017598.1)
Source: RNAcentral